This 4416-nucleotide long non-coding RNA is filed under the name Nicotiana tabacum (common tobacco). RNAcentral describes it as "long non-coding RNA (NTAB_LNC002368)". The record is from RNAcentral. Lineage: Eukaryota; Viridiplantae; Streptophyta; Magnoliopsida; Solanales; Solanaceae.
UCAAAGGAAAAAGUGCCUUCCAUCAUUUUUGACACACACGACAGAGUCUAGAAUCUGCUCUCGUCUUCCGUCUCUUCUAUUCCAACCGAUGGAGGAGUUUCAGUUCGCCUUCUUCAAACUUUCAACAAUACUCGUAGCUCUUUUCGUCUUCUUAUCUAUCUAUUAGAUUUCAGGCAUUAUUCGCUCAAUCCUUGCUCGCAUCUUCUUUGUUUUCUCUUUGUCUUCUUUUCUUUCUUUGCUACUUUUAGAUCUAUUUAACUGUUUUCAAUUUCAUGGAUAAAUUUCCUUGGAUUUUGUAUUUUCCAACCAGAUGAUGCGGAAUUACCAUUUUAAGGGCUAUUCUCCGUCCAAUUUCAUUGAUGUUGCCUUCUUCUUGCUGAUUCACCUCUAUCUCUUCUUCUUCAUAAGGUAUUGAAAUUUAUUGUUCUACUAACUUAAAACAAAAAGGAUAUUUAAUUUUACUCCUAAUUCAUGUUGUUCUUCCUUUUCUUUACAUUUUUUGUAUAUGUUAUAUUUCUAUGAAUUGUGAAUCGCGAGUAUGUUUUCAGGCUCUUCUUAACUGCCUCUGCGCACACCCCUCACUCUCCAUAGCCGAGGAAAAGAACAGUAAGAACUCAUGAUAACCUAAUUUUGAUAAAGCACUAAAAUUGGUGUAUGGGUUGAGAUUGAAAUAAAGUGAAUGAAUUAAGUCAAAUGGCUAUUGGGAAAAAUUUAUGCAUAUAAAUUUCUAUUGACAGAUUUUAUUCAUUAUUUCAUGUCUUAGGAAUGCUUAAUUAGGCUUAAGAUGAUUUGGGAACUUUUCUUAAAAGUUGUGUUCGAGCAACAUCUGAUUGUUUAAACUUAAAUUCAUUUAUCUGGCUACAAAUUUAUGGAAUAAGGAAGGUAUGUUAAAGGGCAUGUAAUGGGAUUGCUUUAUAUGAUGACUCAUUGUUGUUGAUGGGAUUUGAAAGUAGAGGAAUAUUUAAAAGUAGAGGAGUAGGAAGUAGAGCACCGAGGAUUGAUAAAGAUUGUAUGAAGUUGCAAGACACUAAUGGUCCAGAAAAAGGACGAGAAAAUAGCACAGAUAUCCAAAACUUUAAGAAGCAGACAAGAGGAAUAGAGAUGUAAGGACAUGUAUAAGAGGAUACCUAAGCCAAGGAAGUAGCUUAAUUUUUUUUAUUUUUUUAUUCCUUGUUUAUUGGCAUCCACUGAUACAAUGUGUGUUCAACUAUAAAUUAUAGUUGUUUGUCUUAUUGGAAAUUCUCAUUCACCCAUCUUUAAGCCUAAUUUGUCUUAUUUUCUACUGAUAUGUCCAUGUCUUAUUAUCAACAUAUGUUAUCUUCACCUAUACUUUCUUAUUAUUCUCUACUUUUAUGCAAUUUUAUUAGAAUAUUCUUUAAGUUUGUAUUUUAUUAAGAUAUUUUGUCCAAAAGUAUAAGUGACGGAUGGAUCUUUCCAUCUUGCAUACUUGACUGAUUGAUUCACUUGGUUACUUCUUGACAAUUGGUUUUUUCUCCUGUUAGUUCAGUACCGAAUGCAUAUGGAUUAUCAGGUUUGUAUAUUUAUCAGUGGAAAAUAUUAUUGCAUUCAUAAAUACACUUUGUUUUAACAUAAAUAUAGCAUGUAUUAAAACAUUCUUCCAUGAUGAUUACUUUCAACUUUUACAAAUUAAAACUAUUACAGGAACCUAGAAAAAGGAUUAUUUUCAAGGUCAUGAAAGAGUACUCAAAGGUCCUCCUCCAUCACUUCAAGUGGCAAAGGCUGUGAACUAUUUAACUUGGUACCCUUCUUUUUAUCCAUCAAGGCCUCUACAUGCUGCUCUUUACUUCCUUUUUGGGUGUAAGUUUUUUUUUCUUCAUAUUUAUGUUUAUCAUUGUGAUUAUUGAUGGUAAGGCCCAGCUCUCUUCGCAUUCAGUUUCUUAAAUCAAUUGGUGUGUUUGCUUUUGUGCUUUUAAUUUAUUUCAUCACUUUCAAGUUGUAGUUACAAGUUCAAAGAUCAAUUGAUUUUUUUUUAAUAUUCCGGAACAUAUGAUGACUAAUAGCUUGUUUGGCCAAGCUGCAAAAAUUAACUUAUUUUGAGAAGUGUUUUUUCUCAAAAGUGCUUUUUUCAAAAGUAUUUUUUGGUGAGAAUCAGUUUGUGUUUGGCUAAUUAAUUUGAAAAGCACUUCUGAGCAGCAAUUAGUAUUUGGCCAAGUUUUUAAAAACUGCUUCUAAGUGUAUUUUUCUUAAAAGUGCUUUUCAAAAAAGUGCUUUUGGAGAGAAGCUACUUUUUUCUGCUUCUCCAAAACUGCUUCUGCUUCUCCUCAAAAGCACUUUUCUUUCUUCAAAAAGCUUGGUCAAACACUUUAACUUUGAAAAAAAAGUACUUCUUUUAAAAAGAAAAGUGCUUUUGGCUUUGGAGAAGCUGGGCCAAACAGGCGAUAAGUCUAGCAUUCAAAAACUUUCCUCUUAGUUAGAAAAGGUAGUAUUGUAAUGCAUGAAAUAACUGGUGAUCGAGGAGGUUUUAUAUUCAUACUUUGAAAGUUCUAGCUUUGAUAUUGCCUAUUAUUUGUGGCUACAAGAGUUGCUUUAAUUUUUAUUUGGCUGAAUAGGUAGGGUGAUUUAUGAUACAAUAACAUGUCGUAGUAUGUACACUUUCGGAAAUAAGUACUUCGUAAAAUUGUACUAUUGUUAGGUAUUGAGUUUUAUUUGUGAAUUGAAGUAUAUAACUCUUUCGCACAGUGUAUUAAUACCAUGAGAUAUUUUUCCGUUCUAUGAGUUUAUCUACUAAGAUUAAGGACAAAUAAAAUAAGAAAUCAAGGAUAGUUUUGCAUAAUUAUUGUAGUGUAUUUGGUAACAGUGGCAUGGUAUAACUUUGUUUGUUUCCUUGGUUAUAAGUCUUUGCAAAUUAAAUAUAAUGUACUACAAAUGUAUUUAUAAAAAAGUGCAAUUUAUGCAAAAAGGGUGACAAGAACAAACCAAAAUUUUGAGGAAAAAAAAAAACAUAUUACCUAGGCUGAGUGCCAUUUCAAACAUAAGGUGCUCUUGCAGAUAGAAUAACACAAAAACGUCAUUAUUGUUACUUAGUUGAUCAACCAUUAGAAGUUUGUUGAUUGACCGUUGUUUGGGAAGUUCUAGAAUAAGUACCAUCUUGAGCUAACUAUCUUGAACACAAUUUUAUGUUUGAUUAUAUCUUCUUCAGUAUUUCGUGAACUCUAAAUUAUUUUCAUUGUUGACUCUGGUAGAAAUUGAUUAUUCAUCAAUGGGAGAUUUAAAAGAACCCCAUGACUGAGGUAUGUAUUAGGUCUUGAGCACUACCAGCUUACUCAAUAUAUUUAGAUAUAAAGAAUGUGUUUUAUUGUAAUUGUCUUGAAGAGUUUGUACUUGAAUUAAACUAUCUACUCAGUUUCCUUUCGAUAUUUGACUUAUGGAACUUCAGUUUGAUACUUUAUGUGAUAAAUACAGUCAAUAAAUCAAUCUAUCUAUGUCUUGAAACAGAGAAGAAACUUUUCAAUUAAGGUUUGUGAAGAAAAUGAGAAAAGCAAAGUGGAUCACUUUUUUAUAUUUCCCUUUUCGUGUAUUAGAAAAUUUUAUUAUUGACAAAGACCACACUAAGAUAAUGCUGAGAUGACAUAAAAGAAAUAUUAAUAUCAGUCCAUAUUUAUUCUUGCAGUGAUGACAAAAAAUAUAUCAAUGUAUUUACUUCAUAUCCUUAUAUGUUCUUUAUAACGAAUGAACUUUUUGUGUCACUUAAUAGUCAUAUGAUAUUAAUGUAUCUUUUUCUUUUAUAUGAGGGAAAGUAAAAUGCAUUGACCAACUUUUCUGGACAUCAUUUGCAUUUCACAUAAGUUGUGUCAGCAUUAGCUUAUCAAAGAAAACAUAAGGCUUAGCAUUUUUUCGAUUUUUUCGUUAAUUGUUAGGUGGUUAAAUCUUAAUGAUAGGAAGAUCCUAUACUGUUUUGAUAAAAUAUUAUAUUUGAUGUAUCUUUAGAUUGUAGUAACAGUGUCUUGCUAUAAAAGGCCAUAAUUUGACUCUUGAGUAUAGUAUUUUUCGAGUAGUUUAUUUGUGGUGAUCGCACUUAUCUCUUUAUGUCGUGAUAUUUUUCAAUUCUUGCUAUCAUUUAAUAUUUUCUAUCUCUAAAUAUUUGACUUCUUAUUCUCUACUUGGAAUAGGACAGGUUGUCUGAAGAACACAUAGUAGCAGAUGUAUGAAUGCAAUACACAAAAUAUUUGCCAUACUUUAUGUGGCUCUUAGUUGGACUAUGUUCUCUUUUGUUUAUAGUACAAACACGGAUAGCAACUGAUAUAUUUAGUUGAUCACGUAGCAUAAGAUAGUGGGUAGAAAACGAUGAAGAAAUAAGGCGUACUUGAGCUUGAGUUUGAUUUUGUAAGUAUAUUUAAAGGAAGUUGAAGAAAAGGAAAUAUUUAGCUCAAUUUUGAUAAAUCUAGGGAAGCAAUA